AUCCUUAAGGUUGAUAAACCUUGACAAGCCUAUGGGGCUACUAUAGUAUUCUCUUAUUACGGGUAAGAGUAUCAAGCAUAAGCGAAAUUCCGUGCUUAUGUAAUGCUAAGUUAGUGCAGACUUAAAAAUUAGGC
Molecule: non-coding RNA, 134 nt
Filed under: unclassified sequences
Source: RNAcentral